CACGUAGUUAGCCGGAGCUUAUUCCUCAGGUACCGUCAAAUUCCUCUUUCUUCCCUGAUAAAAGAACUUUACAUUACGAAUAACUUCUUCAUUCACGCGGCGUUGCUCGGUCAGGGUUCCCCCCAUUGCCGAAAAUUCCCUACUGCUGCCUCCCGUAGGAGUAUGGACCGUUCUCAGUUCCAUUGUGGCCGUUCAACCUCUCAGUCCGGCUACGCAUCAUCGCCUUGGUAGGCCCUUACCCCACCAACUAGCUAAUGCGCCACAGGCCCCUCCUUAAGCAGAUCUCUCUUUUAAAUAUAAAAGAUUCUUCCUCUAUAUCCUAUCCAGUUUUAUCCAUCGUUUCCAAUGGCUAUCCUCGUCUUAAGGGUAGGUUACCUAUGUAUUACUCACCCGUUCGCCACUAAAGUACCCCGAAGGUACUUCCGUUCGACUUGCAUGUAUUAGGCACGCGCCAGCGUUAAUCCUGAGCCAGGAUCAAAGAGACUGACCAAGGCACCAACGAGGGAACUA
This 510-nucleotide ribosomal RNA is filed under the name uncultured Anaeroplasma sp. RNAcentral's name for it is "partial 16S ribosomal RNA". Lineage: Bacteria; Bacillati; Mycoplasmatota; Mollicutes; Anaeroplasmatales; Anaeroplasmataceae. The record is from RNAcentral.